GGAAAAGCGAAGAAGAGGAUAAGUAGUCAGCGGGAAAGGAAUCUCCAGAGAACCGGGGGAGCUGGAAACCGGUGGUUCCGCCGCUUGAUGAACUCACCUCUGAGCGCCAGCUUGAACGCGUAAGCUAGUAGAGUUGGCCGGGUGGAAUCGUCCACUCGUUACUAAAACGAGCAGCAUGGGAAGUUGCUCAUGAGGUGGUCGAAUGACCAUGAAGAAGGGUGGUACCGCGGAAAGGAAACCUUUUCGCCCCUUUG
RNAcentral lists this non-coding RNA (254 nucleotides) under Anoxybacteroides amylolyticum. Its description in RNAcentral is "Anoxybacillus amylolyticus T-box sequence". It matches the Rfam family "T-box leader". From Rfam's summary of the family: Uncharged tRNA acts as the effector for transcription antitermination of genes in the T-box leader family. T-boxes are found upstream of many aminoacyl-tRNA synthetase genes and some amino acid biosynthetic genes usually in Gram-positive bacteria. The anticodon of a specific tRNA base pairs to a specifier sequence within the T-box motif, and the NCCA acceptor tail of the tRNA base pairs to a conserved bulge in the T-box antiterminator hairpin. Lineage: Bacteria; Bacillati; Bacillota; Bacilli; Caryophanales; Anoxybacillaceae. The record is from RNAcentral.